GAUUAGGCUCCUCGCGUCGCGGCCAGCCGGUGAGAGUGAGUGCACGAGAGAAAGCUGACAUCCCGGCAGAGCGUCGACGGAGCCCACCUGAGGAUGUGUGUGGAGUGUCUGUACGGGGGAACCGGCAGGAGCUAGGGCGGCCUGAGCCUCCACCUGUGGAUGGUAACUCUUCAACUUUCCCCCCCACGGACCCGUGUUCACCUCUGCUGCGGGGAUAAGCACCGACAGAGACAGGUGUCCGCUCACGUCACCGCCCGCCCCCCCCCCCCCCCCCUCCACACCCCGCGAGGCUGUCGGACGACCGGGCUGAGGAGUUUCCCUUUAGAACCGUGUUUACCUCUGAGUGGUUUUUGUACAAACUUUGACUUUUUUUCUGAGCCAUGUUGUGGACGAGUUGGCUCGUCCUGCUGCUCUGCUGGGCGGCGACAGGCGACGAGCUGCAGGCGGAUGAGAGGAGCGGAGCCCCGGCGGAGGUCCGGGCGGACUCCCGCAGGCAGAGAACCCCUCCACCGGUGGAGCCGCUGGACUUUGGUUUUGUACCAGCUGCCGUUUAUGACACCCAUGCCUACUACGAGCCGGGGCCCGUAGGGAUCCUCUUCCAUAUGGUACAUGCGUUUCUCUACGUGAUUCAACCGAACCCAUUCCCCAAAGAUCUCAUUGUAAAGGUUAUCCAGCAAAACAUGGGGGGAAUCAAAAUUGAGGAAUGGAGAAAGCCAGAAAACGUUGUCCUGUUACUACAGUGGAUCUACUACGAGGCCGGGUUCCUCAUAUGUGCAACCGUCGGGAUCGUGUUCAUUGUCCUGAUCCCUAUCGUUGGAACAUGUUUCUGUGUGUGUCGAUGCUGUGAGAACUGUGGAGGGGAGAUGCACCAGAGACAGAGGAAGAACACAGACUGUCAGAGAGGCUUCUACACUGCCUCACUCAUCACUACUUCCAUCUUCAUUAUUGUGGGUGUGUUCAUUGCUUAUGCUGCCAACCAUAACGUCAGCGCCCAGAUCAAGAGCACGCGACGUUUCAUCAAUACCAACAUGAGAGACCUGAGGACCUUUGCUAACAACACACCUUCACAAAUCGAAUACUUGACAGCACAGUACGCCACAGCCAAGAACAAAGUCCUGUCAGAUCUGGACAACAUUGGACCUUUGUUGGGCGGGAGGAUCCACAGUCAGCUGGAGAAACAGGUGGUUCCUUCAUUAGACACUGCUCUGCGCAUGGCAGGAGCAAAAGUUGAGAGUGCCAUCAAAGCAAUGCGAGAGACCAAAGAGGCUCUGGAGAAUGUGAGCUCGUCCCUGGAGGUGCUUCAGGAGGGGACUGGGAAACUUCAGGCCUCUUUGUCCGGAGAACGGGCGUCUCUGUCCAACACGCUGUCUGACCCGGCCUGCACCAACGGAGCUGUAUCCCACACAUGCAACACCAUCCGCUCCACACUAUCCCAGCUGGGAGUCAGUGCCGACUACUCCAAGCUCCCAGAUGUCUCUCAUGCCUUAGAAAAUGUCAACAUCGUCUUGAAAACAGACCUCAGCAACAUUGUACAAAAGGGUUACUCCUCCUUUAAUGACACACCAAAACUGGUUAAAGAGCAAACUAAAAAUAUUGUCUCAGCUCUUCCUCGAGUGAAAGGCAUGCUGGAUAAAAUUGGCACAGAGAUUACCAGCUUCUCCAAGAUGUUCCCAGUGGAAGCCUCUUUGGCCAAUUUCACUAUUUUCCUCAAUGAUGGACAGAAGAAGAUUGAAGCUUACUACCCACAGAUAGACCAAAUGGAUUUUUACAGGUGGAUCGGUUGUGUGGCGGUGCUCUGCAUGGUUGUCUUGAUCCUGGCUUUCAACAUCCUUGGCCUGCUGUGUGGCACCUGUGGUUACGACAAACAGGCCACUCCCACCACCCGUGGCUGCCUGUCGAACACUGGUGGCAACUUACUAAUGGCCGGCGUGGGCUUCACGUUUAUCUUCGCCUGGGUGCUGAUGGCCAUCGUGACCACCCUGUUUGUUGUCGGUGGUAACGUGGAGAAGCUCAUGUGUGAGCCACUGGCCAACCGACAGCUAUUCAAGAUCAUCGACACUCCUUUCCUGGUUCAUCCUAAUAAGAAGAACUUCCUUCCUGGGAUGCUGUUCCAGAAUCCAAACAUUGACUUGACUUUGGGAGGCAUGUACAGAGAGUGCUACGAGAACAACGGCCUGUACCACGCUCUGCAACUGGAGACAAUGUUCAACAUUAACUCCUUCCUCAACAGAACUGUGUACAACAAGGAUCUGUCCAAAGUCUUUGACAGUGUGCAGGUGGAUCUGCAGGACAUCACUCUCCUGGAGCAGGCAGGCAGAGACAACCUCAUCAACUUUGCCAACUCUGGAGUUGGACACAUUGAUUAUGAAGCGUACAUGGCAGAGGUAAACAGGGGCGUCACUACUGUAGAUCUCUUGUCAUUCUCUACUGAUCUGGAGGCUCAAGCUGAUCAACUGCCCCGAGGUGCUCUUGAAAAUGCCCUGAAGGGACACGCCAGCAGCAUCCGACAGAUUCAUAGAGAACAGGUGGUUCCACUGGAGCAAGCAAUGAAAUAUGUCAAAGCACGGAGUACAUUAAGCCAGAGUAUAAAACAGCUGCAGAGGACGUCCAGCGACCUGCCGGUCAAAGUCACUAAUAUCCUGAGUGCCAUCGAUGCAGCCGAGUACCUCAUCACUCACAACGCCUCCCAUGUAGUGAAGCAGGAAACAAAGGGCUACAUAGAGAGCCUGGUGGGAUACUUCAAACAGUACACAGAAUGGGUUAAAAACUCUCUGACUGCAGAGGUGGCCCAGUGUAAACCCAUCAGUAACAUUGUGGACAGCAUGGAGAUAGUAGCCUGCAGCUUUAUAAUCGAUUCAGUGAACACAUUCUGGUUCGGCCUGGGGUGCUGCUCCAUCUUGCUCAUUCCCAGUAUCAUCUUCUCUGUCAAACUGGCCAAGUAUUACAGGAGGAUGGACACAGAGGAUGUCUUUGAGGACUCCUCGUACCCAUGGCUCGUUUCACUUUGAUAUCUGUCUGUUCUUCACACAUCUUCAUCUCCUUUUCUUAGUCGGAAUGCGACAUUCUGAAUCUGGAUCUCUUUUCCAUCUUUGUACAUCAUUUUCAUCUGAAAUCAUAAGCAUGGUCUUUCUCUCACUCGCUCAUUGUCCCUUUGGUCGUGGUUCUUCCGACUUGAGCAUCUAUUUCCGAGGAUCGUUGCACCCUGAUCACUUUCAGACUCUUCCCAUUCUCUUUCUCGUUCCCACCUGACCUGUGUCCGCCCUUGCUCUUGUGUUGCAGUAUGGGUAAUACAGGUAACCAUGGUGAACAGGUGUGUGAUAUCCAUGGAAACCUCACUGUUGUCAGGUAUGAGCAGACUCACUGCUUGCAUGCCAUGGUGUUAAUUGGUGGAGGGAUUUUCCUGUCCAUGUGACUUCAAGUUCAGCUUUCUUCGCUCCACAUUUGUACAUAUUGAUAAAAAAUCCCCAUAUGUAUGUGCGUGUGUGUGUGUGUUUACAUGUGUAGCUCCCCCUAUUGUGACACUCUGACCCGGUUUCCUCGGGCCUCUGCUCCCCCGACUUACGCCGACUGGUGACCCAAAGGAACAGUCUCCUUCAGCAGUAAGCGGACAGGAGAGCUGGAACUGACCUCCCAUUGUGGAUCACGGAAUUCUUAACACUUGCAAGGACAAAAGGGAAGACCAACUAUGAAACACUGUGCAGUGAGGGCACCCCGACCCCCCAGUCCCCCCUUCAGGCCAUUCAACAAGGACCUCUGGUACCAGCCAACUGUAAUUCAUCAAGUGUUUUCUCUACACACCAGCAUCCCAUCACAGCAGAACCACGGCAGUCAGUCUUUGUAGUGUGUCAUAAUAAUGUCCAGGAUCGUCUGUCCCUGCAUAGAUAGUUUUAUCUGUAGACAGUACGUUUGUACCGACUUCAUCCGUUUUAACACGGUGACACAAGUGUACAUUUUUUACGCUUUCAAAACUUUUGAAAGUUUUAUAUAUUUUUAUUAAUGUUUGUUUUAUAAAUUGUAAGUAGUUUUUAUAGUAGUACUGGUAGUUAUUUCCCUCCUUUUUCUUUUCUUUUCUUUUCUUUUCUUUUCUUUUCUUUUCUUUUCUUUUCUCUUUCCUGUGGAUAUUUUGAAUAUAACUAGUGCAGUUUUGGCUCAACAGUUGCACUGACCAGGUAGGUUUUACACUUCAAUUUUGGCUCUUCGUAAGACAUUUGUAUAGUUGUACAGUGAGUACAUUGUUUUUCCUGGUCCAUGCUACUGCAAGAGGCAAAAUGCAUACACACACACACACACACACACACACAUUUGAGGUUUUACGACAGCUAACAAAAUAUUGUGUCUUAGGCAUUUCUCGCCAGACCAUUAGUGAGGGCCUAGCUGCUUGUGUUGUAAGUUUUUUUUUUCUGCCAUCCUGUGGUAUGAAAAAACUCCCAGAAGCCUCUGUGGUCUUACAGACCAGGAUAAGGAACACAUACACAAAAACUGUCCUGCUGGAGUUUGUGGUGACAAAUCUGUGAAUAAAAACUUGAGUCCAACAA
Molecule: RNA transcript, 4535 nt
Organism: Sphaeramia orbicularis (orbiculate cardinalfish)
Lineage: Eukaryota; Metazoa; Chordata; Actinopteri; Kurtiformes; Apogonidae
Gene: prom1b
Gene name: prominin 1 b
Exons: 29
Source: RefSeq, a predicted model, not a curated record